GAUGAAGAACGUAGCGAAAUGCGAUAAGUAAUGUGAAUUGCAGAAUUCAGUGAAUCAUCGAAUCUUUGAACGCACCUUGCGCCCUUUGGCCAUUCCGAAGGGCAUGCCUGUUUGAGUAUCAUGAACACCUCAACUCUCAUGGCUCGCCAUGAUGAGCUUGGAUUUGGGGGUCUUGCUGGCCUGUGGUCGGCUCCUCUCAAAUGGAUCAGCUUGCCAGUGUUUGGUGGCAUCACAGGUGUGAUAACUAUCUGCGCUUGUGGUUUUCCAUCAGAUAACCUUCAGUGAUGGAGGUUCGCUGGAGCUCAUAAAUGUCUCCCCUAAGCGGGGACAGCCCUUUGAAUGUUUGAUCUCAAAUCAGGUAGGACUACCCGCUGAACUUAAGCAUAUCAAUAAGCGGAGGA
Molecule: unclassified non-coding RNA, 401 nt
Filed under: soil metagenome
Description: partial contains 5.8S ribosomal RNA, internal transcribed spacer 2, and large subunit ribosomal RNA
Rfam family: 5.8S ribosomal RNA (bases 1-121)
Source: RNAcentral